AUGGCCGGGGCCCUGCGUGGUUUCCUUCGAGGGUGGGGUGCAAACCAUGGAAGUGAAGCUAAACGAGCUAGGGAAGCUCUUAUCGAGGAAAUUAAAGCCCUUGACGUUCAAGCUGACUCUAGAUCCUUAUCGGAAGCGGAGUGUGCUAACCGUUAUGCCCUCGAAAAUCAAGUGCUGGCCAUCCUCAGGGAAGAGGAGGAAUAUUGGCGCCGUAGGGGCGGCGUCAAGUGGAUUACCAAGGGGGACGCAAAUACGGGCUAUUUCCACGCCUUCGCCAAUGGCCGCAAAAGGAAAUGUUCGAUUCUCAGAUUGCAAUUGGACCACGGAUUACUGGUCAGCCAAGCUGAAAUCUCGAGGCAUAUUUACGAUUUCUUCCUUAACCUGUUGGGUACAGUGGAAGAGAAGCCCCUUCACCUCCGUGAGGACUUUUGG
RNAcentral lists this ribosomal RNA (432 nucleotides) under Triticum aestivum (bread wheat). RNAcentral describes it as "partial small subunit ribosomal RNA". Lineage: Eukaryota; Viridiplantae; Streptophyta; Magnoliopsida; Poales; Poaceae. The record is from RNAcentral.